Molecule: non-coding RNA, 108 nt
Organism: Acanthosepion pharaonis
Lineage: Eukaryota; Metazoa; Mollusca; Cephalopoda; Sepiida; Sepiidae
Source: the annotation of a GenBank genome assembly
UUAUGGCCAUAUCAAGUUGAAACACCGGUUCCCGUAAAUUCACCGAAGUUAAGCAACGCCGAGGCUGGUCAGUACCUAGAUGGGUGACCGCUUGGGAAUACCAUGGGU